AAAGAUGUCUAAUUCAACAUAUUUUACUACAAUGUAUACUUUACUUGAUGUGAAAGAUCGUUACAAAAUCUAUAUUUUGUAAUUUUGUAGUAGUGACAUAGUCACUAUUAUUUGGAUGAGAAUGUGCUAUUAAUCUUACAAACCAAAAUAAUUAUCUUAUAUAUUUUUCUUUUUUUAUUGAAUUUCUUUCUUUAUUUUUUAUAAUUAUAUUUUUG
This 215-nucleotide long non-coding RNA is filed under the name Lathyrus oleraceus (garden pea). RNAcentral describes it as "Pisum sativum (pea) long non-coding RNA (PSAT_LNC004482)". The record is from RNAcentral. Lineage: Eukaryota; Viridiplantae; Streptophyta; Magnoliopsida; Fabales; Fabaceae.